CCCUUAGAUGUCCUGGGCUGCACGCGCGCUACACUGAUGUGUCCAGUAAGCACCUAACCUCUUCCGAAAGGUACGGGUAACCUUUGCAAAGCACAUCGUGAUGGGGAUAGAUUAUUGCAAUUAUUAGUCUUGAACGAGGAAUUCCUAGUAAGCACAAGUCAUCAGCUUGUGUUGAUUACGUCCCUGCCCUUUGUACACACCGCCCGUCGCUCCUACCGAUUGAAUGUUCCGGUGAGCUCUUCGGACUGCGCGGUCUGCAGUUUCUGCGUUCCGUGCGGAAAGUUGCGCAAACCUUAACAUUUAGAGGAAGGAGAAGUCGUAACA
RNAcentral lists this ribosomal RNA (324 nucleotides) under uncultured eukaryote. RNAcentral's name for it is "partial 18S ribosomal RNA". It matches the Rfam family "Eukaryotic small subunit ribosomal RNA", at positions 1470 to 1796 of the family's 1831-position model. The record is from RNAcentral.